RNAcentral lists this ribosomal RNA (369 nucleotides) under uncultured bacterium. RNAcentral describes it as "bacterial SSU rRNA". It matches the Rfam family "Bacterial small subunit ribosomal RNA", at positions 29 to 419 of the family's 1533-position model. The record is from RNAcentral.
AGCGAACGCUAGCGGCGGGCCUAACACAUGCAAGUCGAGCGGGGGAGCAAUCCCCAGCGGCGGACGGGUGAGUAACACGUAGGUUAUGUGCCCUUUGGUGGGGAAUAACCGUGGGAAACCAUGGCUAAUUCCGCAUAUCGAGCGAAAUCUUGAAAGCCUUCGGGCGCCAAAAGGAGCAACCUGCGGCCCAUUAGCUUGUUGGUAGGGUAACGGCCUACCAAGGCGAUGAUGGGUAGCUGGUCUGAGAGGAUGAUCAGCCACACUGGAACUGAGACACGGUCCAGACUCCUACGGGAGGCAGCAGUGGGGAAUAUUGCGCAAUGGGCGAAAGCCUGACGCAGCCACGCCGCGUGAGUGAUGAAGGCCUUC